RNAcentral lists this long non-coding RNA (4969 nucleotides) under Panicum hallii. RNAcentral's name for it is "long non-coding RNA (PHAL_LNC000399)". Lineage: Eukaryota; Viridiplantae; Streptophyta; Magnoliopsida; Poales; Poaceae. The record is from RNAcentral.
CAAACUCAUGCUAAAUAAUCUAAACAGUGAAAAAGCAGCUCCAUCACUAUAAUACAUCUUGAUUAAUGUAAACAGUGAAACAGAAGGUAUUGUUUGCGACAAAUUCAAGAAUGGAAUCAUACGGGAGCAAGAGGUUCAGCACUGUAUUUUCCAGCCUGUUUUAUCUUGAAUUCUUGAUGGUCCGGACCAAGUAUGUAGGCCUGGUGUUGACAACUAUUAUGACUUGUAAUGUUAUCAUUGCCAGGAAUAUAGGUGAUUCCUGCUAAUACAUAUAAUCAGACUGCUUGCUAUACAUAUGAAUAGACUGUCCAUCUAGUUGAAAUCAGGGAUUAGAUUCACUCCGGACCUAUAGGUAUUUCGUGGCCUGGCACAUAACCUGUCAAUAUUCGCGCUCCGGCCUCCAGGUUGGUCCUAAAAGCCUCCAUUGGAAUACUACUGAAUCUUGCUGCUUCAACCCCAAAAAUUCAGACAUAUACUGUCUAUAAUCAUAGGCACCAAAAUUGACUUCUAUAGCUUCAACUUCAAUGAAAUGAUCCCAUCUCCCACAUUAUGAUUGAGGACUGUUUUUCUUUUAAAAAAUACAAAUAAAGAGACAUUGAACUGUGUCGUGCAAAACUCGUGAGAUUUGAAAUUCUCACAACCUCAAAAGUUUUGAGUACCCCUUGCUGAAACUAGAAAAAAAAUUUGUGUUGAAAAUAGAAGUUGUUGGUAGAACUACUCCGGUAAGAGGUAGAAGGGUAUCUGAAAAGGAGAGUACCAGUUUUGCAAAAAAAAAAAAAAGAAAGAAACGAAGAGUACCAAAACAGAGGUUAAACUCGACGCCUAGACCUCUCUGGACUUGUUGCCAGGCAGUGGACUCGGCCGUUCCCUUCUUCGGUGGCAGUGGUAGAGCGUGAACCAAAAAUAUAGAGGGGGCUAAUUUACCAACUUCAAAUCAAUAUAUAUAAAAGUUUCAUAGAAAUCUAAAUCAAUAUAUAUAAAAGUUUCAUAGAAAUCUCUUAAUAGGAUUCAUGUACCAAAAGAAGGCUGGCCAGUGUGGCCACGUCGCUUGCUGUUCCCGGUCGUCGGAUUGGCCUGGCGGACGGCCCAGAUCCUAUGAGUUCCGGUCAUUUUGCAAAAAGCUCUCGAACUUUAGAUAAAUCAACCAGCAGUCCAGCCUCUUCCCUUAGGUAAUUUUGCAAAAAACUAACAACUUUUAUCAAAAUCAACCCGCGGUCCAACCUUCCCGAUUUAGAGAAUUUGCAGAGAAAAUCUUAAAUUUUCAGAAAAUCAACAUCCUGGUCGUCUCUCAGAAAUGAUUUAGAAAAACCCACGGAUUUUAAUUAAAUUAAACCUCAACUCAUUCCAUCUGUUGCUUCUACACGAGCAACAUUACAAUUUGAACACCAAAACACGUUGAAAUCAAAAGUUGUUCAAUAUAGAAUUUGAUCAAAAAUCCAAAACUACAACUUCAUUAUAAAGCAAAUUUUAAAAUUCAAAACGCUUUCACAAUUCGUUUGCACAAAUGCUUGCAUGCGAUCCGUCGUACCUAUAAUAUGGACACCAAAACGUCUUCAAAUUAAAAAGUGUUCAAUACAAAAGUUGCUUAGGAUUUCAAAAUCUACAGCUUUAUUAUAUAGUAAUUUAAAAGUGUUCAAUACAAAAGUUGCUCAGGAUUUCAAAAUAUACAGCUUUACAAUUUUAAAUUCAAAAUGCUUUUAGAAUUUAUCCACAUAAAUGUUUACGUAAGAUCCAUUCUACAUCCAUUCUACCUACGAUUCAGACACCAAAACAUCUUUACGUCAAAAAAUUUUAAAUACAAAAAUUGCUCAAAAUUUCAGAACCAAAAGCUUUUGCUACACAACAAAUUUUUAAAAUAAAUGACAACCAAAAAUACUAUAACCAAAAACACUAAAUAUAACAAAAAAAGAUAGUUCCAUUCCCACGCAAAAAUAAUAUCCUACUUAAAUAGUAGUGUCACGAUAAUAGAGAGUCCAAAAUAUACAUCAACUACAACAACAGGCUGCAUAUCAUGAUUCCUAAGUAUACAAUAAUUGCUACUCUGUGCAUGAACUAAAAUCUGUAUCAACUACAGUUUGACGACACGAAAUACGGGUCCUACGCGGCAAAGCCUCGCGCGUUUCUAGUAAGUUUUGAUUGAUGAACUACUGGUAACUAUGUUACACUUAAGAAACUACAAGUGACCGUAGCCUAUUGUCAGUAGAGACCUAUCACCGUAUCAUACUAUCAUAUUAGUAUAUAUAUACACACAAAAAGAUAAGUAAUCAGUAUAACUAGCACUUGUUAAAAGUUCUCCCUUCUUUUCUUCAUAGCUAUAGUCUCCUGCUAUUUUUCCUUCCAUGUGUACUACCAAACUAUUGGUAAGAAAUUCGUCUUUCAUCUUGUUUCAUAAUCUUGUCUUAGUGAUCUUCAAGAUAGAAAAAGCACGCUAGCGCUAGCCAUUGAAACUAGAAGAGUAAUAAGAAGCAACCGAAGCAAUCUAUCAAUCAUGUUCAAAUUCAUAUAACGUCCAAUGGCAACAAGGCGUCAGCAUAGCUCAGCUAUGGUUGCAAUAUUUUUCAGCUCUUCACUUGCGUGUUGAGCGGACUACGACUUUGUAUAUUGAAUGGAUUGCAGAGCUCUCUGCUCUUCUCUUCAAAAAGUUUGGUGGGGGGGAGGGGGGGGGGGGAUCUCUAUGGCCCUACAAUGCUCCGCCAGUGUUCGGUGGUAGCAUGGAGUUUCUAAGUUAAAAAAUAUCUUUUAUUUCUCUAUCUAGCCAUCCCACGUACUCUCUAUUUUCUAUUUUAUAUUGGUACAAUAUUAAGAAGGACCUUGCUUAUUAUUUUAUUCAUUCCGAUUUCUCAAUUUCGAUAUUAUCAUAUACAUACAUCAUUCCUUUUUCAAGAAAAAUUACUUUACACGGAAAUCGAACAACCAUCUAUACUAUUUUCAAAAUAUCAACCGAUUUCUCAAUUUCGAUAUUAUCAUAUACAUACAUCAUUCCUUUUUCAAGAAAAAAUUACUUUGCACGGAAAUCGAACAACCAUCUAUACUCUUUUCAAAAUAUCAACUAACUAUUAAAAAGAAUACUUUAAUUUUAAAAAUAGGACUAUAAAAAAAGAACGCAGGAUUAUCACAUAUCUUUGCCAAACCAGAGUUCCAAGGAACCUUAAAAAAAGAGUUGGGAAAAUUUACAACCGGAUAUCAUUAAAAAAAUACUUUUUACUCUGACCAUUAAAAAUGAGGAUCUUCGCCAGAAGAUAUUAUAGAACUAUGUAUAUUUGCUGAGAGACUGACAUUAUAACCUAUGAAAUAAUAUUUUCACUUUGAUCACACAAAACUUAAAUCUGGACAACUCCCCCUCCCUCCGGCCAGCAUAUCCACGAGACCACAACAUGCACCCGUGCCUUGUGGCUGCGGGCCCUUGCAGCAGAGGCACCACGCAACGCAAGGCCCUGCCACGCACAGCACAAAACGGAAGAGAGAGCGGAGGAGAGAGACAGAGAGAACGAGAGAGAAAUCGGAAGAGAGAGAAAAAGGAGAGACAGCAGCACCGGUGGUACUCAUCAGCGGCAGCAGCUACCUCGGAGCGCAGCCCCCACCAGCCACCGCUCCUCACGUUCGCAUCACAGCCGCGUCUCCCCGCGCGCUGGGCUCUACUGGUGCUCGCUCGCUGAGUCGCUGGCCGCGGCCGGCGUCGGAGCCAGUUCAGCUCCAGCCGAUUCGACCGUGGGAGCUGUUGUUGCUGCCGCCAGGAGGGGUCUCCGCUGGGGCGCGGUGCUACUCGCCGGUACUCUCCGGCGCUCCGGCAAGAGCCGCAGCUGGGCGUGGUCGCCACCAGGAGGCAGGAGAGGCCGCACACUGGGAAGCGAAGCGCGCCGCCGCCUGGAGUUCGCGGCAGGAUAAGGCGUGCAAACGGUUUCGCGGGAGGAAUCGGCGUGCGAUGGGAUAAGGUAAGCAGGGGCAGACCUGUCAUUCCAUCUCCAAAUAAACUGAAUAAAAUAGUGAGUACAAUGUCUCCCACCAAACACAGAAAUUUCAGAAUUUAGGAUCAUAUACGAGCGCCUUUCAGGAUUUGGACCCAAUUCGCCUGCCUUUUAGAAUUUGACCCCAUCUCACGAAUUAUUUGAGUUUAGGUGUUUUCCAUCUAUUUUCUCAAUUUUGCCUGUUUUUCCUUUUCUUUUUCUUUCCCAGCCCACCUGAAAUUCCAAUCUUGCCCCUGCCCCUCACGAUAAAAAAAAUUCAGAUAUCACAGGUGUUGGGAGCUUCCCCAAGUCUUUUUCUAAAGAUAACAUGGUGUAACAGCGAUAGUCUACAAUCUAUUCAUAGCAUUUUCGAGGCACAUCAACAGAGCUACCAUCAUCCAUCUUUGCUAAACUGAGAAAUCUGGACCGACAAUCUAAACGCAGCAUCCGGAUCAAUCCUACCGCAAUCCUACCGCGUACCAAGAAAAAAACAAGUACAUGGAUCAGUAAGUUCAAUCCUAAUCGAUAUUUUUCUUCACGGAUGCGCCCUUCCCCCCAAAUCGAACCAAACUGAAACUAUACAGAACCCGGCCAGGAGAGUGAUUAGGGAGGCCUUACCCGGGAGGCACAUCAGUGGGAUCCAUGGUGUCCGUUCAGCCUGUUCCGACCGCCCGCAUCUGCUGGUUGCGUUCCUCCCCAGGAACCUAGCGGCGGCGCAAGAACGAGCGAGAGGAGAGAGGGACGAAAGAGAGGAGCUGCCUGGUGGCCGGUGGCCUGAUUCAAUCGUGAGGAGAUAAGGUGCCAAGCGGCAGGGGCAAGGUUGGAAUUUCAGGUGGGCUGGGAAAGAAAAAGAAAUGGGAAAAGAGGCAAAAUUGAGAAAAUAGAUGGAAAACACCUAAAAUGAAACAAUACGUGAGACGGGGGUCAAAUUCUGAAAGGCACGUGAAUUGGGUCCAAAAUCCUGAAAGGUGCUCGUAUUUGAUCCCAGAUUCUGAAAUUUCUCCACCAAAUAUACAUGAUUUUAU